Molecule: long non-coding RNA, 2746 nt
Organism: Ostrea edulis (European flat oyster)
Lineage: Eukaryota; Metazoa; Mollusca; Bivalvia; Ostreida; Ostreidae
Exons: 2
Source: RefSeq, a predicted model, not a curated record
GACUAAUGUAGGGUUCUAGGUUUGAAUUCUGGUCAAGUCAUGUGACUUUGAAUCAUUAUAUUGAUGACCAAUGAAAUAACCCACAAGGCUGGUCCAGUGUCGAUGGUAAAACACAUCUCACGAUAACAGGGGUGAAAUGUGAAACAAUUGGUUAGGAGCUGUCAAUCUAAUUUAGAUCAGAUACUCAUAAUGACAUAAAAUGUGUAGUGGUCAGGCUACUUCCAUUAGUGACCAGAUAGGUCAGUUAGUGGACCACCUAGUGGAAAAUUCACAAAUCCUGGUUUCAAUUCUCAGACAAGUUUGUUAAUUAAAUUUCUCCUGUCAGGAACGAAACUGAGAGUACAAGUGUAAUAGAGUGAAUUUUACAUGUUUUUAAUACUUUAUUUCAGGGAUUUCAUUUAUUGAAAAUAAAUUGCUUUAAUUCAAUUUCUUUACAGAGUUUUGAAAUUUGAUAUGAGAAUAAAGUUUUAUCUAAUUGAAAUCAUUAUUAUAACUCUGACUUGUGUUUGUCUUGUUAUUUCAUUACUUAUUAAAUUUUACUGCUUACUAUGCAGAACAGGUUUUUCUUUAGGAUAAUUGUUACUAUUUAUAGAUCACUCUAGCUUGGUCACAUGGUUUUUAGGAGGGAAAUUUCUUUUGAGGACAGGUAUUCUUGUUUUCAUGCUUAAGUGGCACGGAAGGGUUUUUGGAUAAAAGUUUCAUAUAGUAGCUUGUUCUUUGCUAGUGGAUUGAUUUAUUGGAUGGAGAUUUAUUCUAUUUGAUCAGGUUAGUAUUAAAGUUAGGAUGCACUAUUUCUUUAUUUUCACUACUUUAUCUUGUCUGAGUGAAUGUUUGAAUGAUAGACAAUAUGAGGAGUGAAUGAUCUUUGCAAGUUUGCACGAAUGCUGUAAAUAAUUGAUAUAGAACAUAUUGAUAUAUAAUUAAAUAAGAUUCAAAUUAAUGUGUUUAACUUUUAAAGGAGAGAAUGAAUGUAUUACACUUUAUAAAUACUUAAGAGUAAAUAUUCAUUCAUGCAAUAAAUUAUAACUCUACAGUAAAUACCUAUUUUAUUAUAGUUAGAACAUCAACACAUACUAUAAAGUAGGAGGAUUUCUUAAUGUUUGCACCGACCUUUGCACCUCAUGGGAGGGUCAUGCAACAAUCAUCACCACAAUAAAGAUAAAACCCACGACACCGGAGUUAUUGUUAUUAUUACACCCGGUUACACAAGGAUCUGAUUUUAAUUAGACUGGGAGGCAUUAAAUAGAUCAUAUGUAUAUAGAAGUCUGAAAAGCUCCAUUGAUAUGGCACCUGACUAGUAAUGCAGGAUACUCUGGUUCGAUUCCAAGUCCAGCCAAUUAUCGUCAAACCAUAUUUCUCUUCUGGUCACACUACAAACUACUACUUUAAGCAUUCUUUUUAUAUGAAAAAAAUCUGUACAUCAUCAUCUAUCAAAUGGAUAUGGUGGAGUGACAAAGUCACAUACAUAUAAGUAUCACUAUAAGCUUACACAGACGUCGGUAUCUGUCAGGGUGUUGCUGGGAUCAGAGUACGUUAUCCGCCUUCCUAAGAUUGGUUCCCCCAAAUGUUCCACUGCUGGGGGGUAGCUCCUAACCAAUUCCAGAGAGUUUUUGUAAAAUCCGGAUUCUCUGAUUUUUUCUGAGCAAGGAAAUAAUGAAAGUAAUUAGGUCCAUUUGUAAAGGAGUUCUGAGAACAAAGGAAAUAAUGAUCAUCAUGAUUGUGACGGGAAAUAUGCUAUGUACAAUAUAUUUCAAAAAUUCCAUUUACUAACAUUACCAUUGCUGAAAUUUUGGCAUACAGUCAAAAUUAAACAAAUCUAACUCACAAUGUUCCUUGAGUGACUAGUGUAUGCAUACAGUAACUAUAUAAUGAUGUGAUUUAGAAGUUAUGGACAUAUUAAUAUACAAUAAAAGCAUUGUUUUCCACUAUACAUUGACUGAUAUGAUUUAUAAUCACUGUUUUAGUAUUUAGCCUCUCUGUAUACAUAUAGCAUUUUUCAUCAAAUAAAUCACUUUUACAACAUAUGAAUCUGAUAACUAUAUAUGAUUAAAUAAUCCUGCCUAUCUCAAUCAAAGUAAGUGAGCAAUUUGUAAUUAUAUCCCACGCAACAAAGUUGCAGAGGGUAUAAUGUUUUUGACCGUUCCAUCAGUCAGUCCGUCACCCUUUCUUGUCGGUGCAACUCCUCGGAGGCCGCUUAACAGAAUUCCGUGAAACUUAACAAUUUAAGGACACAUUGUGUAGAUGUGCAUAUAUUCCAAGGGAAAUUCUGCUUCAAUAAUUUUUCUAGGAGUUAUGCGCCUAAUUGAACUUAGAAUUUUAAGGUUUUCUGCCCCCCCCCCCCUCCCCCGAGACCAAUCAACAGAAUUUUGUGAAGCUUUGUAGUUAGUAACAUUGUGUAGAUGUUAAUAUUUGCAAGAAGUUCUGAUUCAAUAAUUUUUCUGGGAGUUAUACCCCUUUUGAAUUUAGAAUUUCGUGCCCGUCUGUCCUGUUCUUGUUGUAUAAAAUUCAAGAUCAUCUAAUGUUUCUACAGAAUGUAGCCCAAAUAAAUUACAUAACUGAAUUUCUUUUGACAGCUCAGUGAAUUGUCAAUAAUGGUGUAUUCGUUACAUUGCCACCUCCACUUUAUUGCCCCAAUUGGUCUGUACACAUGAUUCAUCAGAAAAUUUCAAAGACUUGCAAGAAUAAUACCAAGUAUCAAUACAUUCGUUCCCAUUGCUUUUUUUUUGUGUGUGCACAAAACGGUACA